AGACGUCUACAUUAGAUACCCGCGUAGUCCCAGCCCUAAACGAUGCGCGUUAGGUGUAUCGGUGACCACGAGUCACCGAGGUGCCGAAGGGAAACCGUGAAACGUGCCGCCUGGGAAGUACGGUCGCAAGGCUGAAACUUAAAGGAAUUGGCGGGGAGCACCACAACGGGUGGAGCCUGCGGUUUAAUUGGACUCAACGCCGGGAAGCUCACCGGAUAAGACAGCGGAAUGAUUGCCGGGCUGAAGACCCUGCAUGACCAGCUG
RNAcentral lists this ribosomal RNA (264 nucleotides) under uncultured archaeon. RNAcentral's name for it is "partial 16S ribosomal RNA". It matches the Rfam family "Archaeal small subunit ribosomal RNA", at positions 717 to 982 of the family's 1478-position model. The record is from RNAcentral.